Molecule: ribosomal RNA, 756 nt
Filed under: uncultured bacterium
Lineage: Bacteria
Description: bacterial SSU rRNA
Rfam family: Bacterial small subunit ribosomal RNA
Source: RNAcentral
AGAGUUUGAUCAUGGCUCAGAAUCAACGCUGGCGGCGUGCCUAACACAUGCAAGUCGAACGAGAAAGUGGAGCAAUCCAUGAGUAAAGUGGCGCACGGGUGAGUAACACGUGACUAACCUACCCUUGAGUGGGGAAUAACCUGGAGAAAUCCGGGCUAAUACCGCAUAACACCUACGGGUCAAAGGAGCAAUUCGCUUAAGGAGGGGGUCGCGGCAGAUUAGCUAGUUGGCGGGGUAAUGGCCCACCAAGGCGGUGAUCUGUAUCCGGCCUGAGAGGGCGCACGGACACACUGGAACUGAAACACGGUCCAGACUCCUACGGGAGGCAGCAGUGGGGAAUUUUGCGCAAUGGGGGAAACCCUGACGCAGCAACGCCGCGUGGAGGAUGAAGUCCCUUGGGACGUAAACUCCUUUCGACCGGGACGAUGAUGACGGUACCGGAAGAAGAAGCCCCGGCUAACUUCGUGCCAGCAGCCGCGGUAAUACGAGGGGGGCAAGCGUUGUUCGGAAUUAUUGGGCGUAAAGGGUGCGUAGGCGGUUCGGUAAGUCUUGUGUGAAAUCUUCGGGCUCAACUCGAAGUCUGCACGAGAAACUGCCGGGCUUGAGUGUGGGAGAGGUGAGUGGAAUUUCCGGUGUAGCGGUGAAAUGCGUAGAUAUCGGAAGGAACACCUGUGGCGAAAGCGGCUCACUGGACCACAACUGACGCUGAGGCACGAAAGCUAGGGGAGCAAACAGGAUUAGAUACCCUAGUAGUCC